Molecule: unclassified non-coding RNA, 288 nt
Filed under: Glomus sp.
Lineage: Eukaryota; Fungi; Glomeromycota; Glomeromycetes; Glomerales; Glomeraceae
Description: partial contains 5.8S ribosomal RNA and internal transcribed spacer 2
Rfam family: 5.8S ribosomal RNA (bases 1-65)
Source: RNAcentral
GUGAAUCAUCGAAUCUUUGAACGCAAAUUGCACUCUCCUCGGAGAGUAUGCCUGUUUGAGGGUCAGCCUAUAAAAAAUCGACAUCGUUGCUGUUUCACGGUGACUUUCGUCGGAAAUUGGGUCAUCUUAAAUCUUUUGGGUUUAAGCGCCUUAAAUUUUUCUUUUUUAUUCCAUGAACGUGUUUCUAAGAUUUAUUUCUUUACACGUUUAAUGUAUCUAUUUUUAUUAUACGUGGCCUUCAUAUCGGAUCGCGUCCAUAAUUUUUCGCUAACUUACCUCAGACAGGUA